RNAcentral lists this ribosomal RNA (289 nucleotides) under uncultured Rhodospirillales bacterium. Its description in RNAcentral is "partial 16S ribosomal RNA". The record is from RNAcentral. Lineage: Bacteria; Pseudomonadati; Pseudomonadota; Alphaproteobacteria; Rhodospirillales.
CUACCGGGGUAUCUAAUCCUGUUUGCUCCCCACGCUUUCGCGCCUCAGCGUCAGUCUCGGUCCAGAGCGCCGCCUUCGCCACCGGUGUUCUUCCCAAUAUCUACGAAUUUCACCUCUACACUGGGAAUUCCACGCUCCUCUCCCGAACUCCAGCAAACCCGUUUCGAGCGCAAUUCCCAGGUUGAGCCCGGGGCUUUCACACUCGACAAGGUCCGCCGCCUACGCGCCCUUUACGCCCAGUAAAUCCGAACAACGCUCGCCCCCUUCGUAUUACCGCGGCUGCUGGCAC